CCCACUCAAAAGUGUCCCCAGGGCACUUGAGCACAUCCCGUGAGUUCCUGACAAGUCCUCCCAACAUGGCGGGAGUCACACAGGAAGCACCGUGUUGGACACUUCCUGUCGGCGCCAGGAACAAUGACUUGUCCCAGGCCAUGACCUCACCUCCGUGGCGGAGCCGGCAAUAAAUCAUCCACCUUGAAACGGAGCAGGUGGUGACGGAUUAACAAGACAGUUGGGAGGUGUAAUGUGCAGCUCUGGCCGCUAGAGGGACUUGAAGACCACCAGGAAGUUGCAUUGCACGGCAGGAGGUUUGAGGGGUUGCCUCCACAUUUUGGCGAGACUCCGGAGCCCCGGGCAGCAGGGGUCUGGGACAGGCUGCCAAAUUUGACGACCACAAGGAAUACCCGCUGGUUUUGUGUGUUUGUACAUGUGCCUUCUCUUUAAUUCAAUGAUGUCACCGAUUGACAGCACUGUCUUUCUCUCUGCAUGCCGGCCAGAGAAAAGAAGGCUGGUAAUAAACAGAAAAGAAUUGAGGUUGUCUUGUGUAAGAAUGUUCUAAUUCAAAUCAGGGAGGAAGCCCUCCCCUGAUUACAAGACAGAUAACGAACAAUAAGACCUUUCUCACAAAUGUUAUGAUCCCCAAACACA
Entelurus aequoreus (snake pipefish) is the source of this 636-nucleotide long non-coding RNA. RefSeq lists it as uncharacterized. The record is from RefSeq and is a predicted model, not a curated record. Lineage: Eukaryota; Metazoa; Chordata; Actinopteri; Syngnathiformes; Syngnathidae. The transcript is spliced from 4 exons.